RNAcentral lists this ribosomal RNA (505 nucleotides) under uncultured bacterium. Its description in RNAcentral is "partial 16S ribosomal RNA". It matches the Rfam family "Bacterial small subunit ribosomal RNA", at positions 28 to 507 of the family's 1533-position model. The record is from RNAcentral.
GACGAACGCUGGCGGCGUGCCUAAUACAUGCAAGUAGAACGCACAGUUUAUACCGUAGCUUGCUACACCAUAGACUGUGAGUUGCGAACGGGUGAGUAACGCGUAGGUAACCUGCCUGGUAGCGGGGGAUAACUAUUGGAAACGAUAGCUAAUACCGCAUAAUAUUGAUUAUUGCAUGAUAAUUGAUUGAAAGAUGCUAUUGCAUCACUACCAGAUGGACCUGCGUUGUAUUAGCUAGUAGGUGAGGUAACGGCUCACCUAGGCGACGAUACAUAGCCGACCUGAGAGGGUGAUCGGCCACACUGGGACGGGGACACGGCCCAGACUCCUACGGGAGGCAGCAGUAGGGAAUCUUCGGCAAGGGACGAAAGUCUGACCGAGCAACGCCGCGUGAGUGAAGAAGGGUUUCGGGUCGUAAAGCUCUGUUGUAAGGGAAGAACGGGUGUGAGAGUGGAAAGUUCACACUGUGACGGUAUCUUACCAGAAAGGGACGGCUAACUACGUG